RNAcentral lists this ribosomal RNA (253 nucleotides) under uncultured bacterium. Its description in RNAcentral is "partial 16S ribosomal RNA". It matches the Rfam family "Bacterial small subunit ribosomal RNA", at positions 524 to 776 of the family's 1533-position model. The record is from RNAcentral.
UACGGGGGGGGCAAGCGUUGUUCGGAAUUACUGGGCGUAAAGGGCUUGUAGGCGGCUUGCUAAGUCAGACGUGAAAUCCCUCAGCUUAACUGGGGAACUGCGUCUGAGACUGGCAAGCUUGAGUGCAGGAGAGGAACGCGGAAUUCCAGGUGUAGCGGUGAAAUGCGUAGAUAUCUGGAGGAACACCGGUGGCGAAGGCGGUUCUCUGGGCCUUACCUGACACUGAGGAGCGAAAGCGUGGGGAGCGAACAGG